Molecule: ribosomal RNA, 1442 nt
Filed under: uncultured organism
Description: SSU rRNA
Rfam family: Bacterial small subunit ribosomal RNA
Source: RNAcentral
GCUAGCUACAGGCUUAACACAUGCAAGUCGAGGGGCAGCAUGGUCUUAGCUUGCUAAGGCCGAUGGCGACCGGCGCACGGGUGAGUAACACGUAUCCAACCUGCCGUCUACUCUUGGACAGCCUUCUGAAAGGAAGAUUAAUACAAGAUGGCAUCAUGAGUCCGCAUGUUCACAUGAUUAAAGGUAUUCCGGUAGACGAUGGGGAUGCGUUCCAUUAGAUAGUAGGCGGGGUAACGGCCCACCUAGUCUUCGAUGGAUAGGGGUUCUGAGAGGAAGGUCCCCCACAUUGGAACUGAGACACGGUCCAAACUCCUACGGGAGGCAGCAGUGAGGAAUAUUGGUCAAUGGGCGAGAGCCUGAACCAGCCAAGUAGCGUGAAGGAUGACUGCCCUAUGGGUUGUAAACUUCUUUUAUAAAGGAAUAAAGUCGGGUAUGGAUACCCGUUUGCAUGUACUUUAUGAAUAAGGAUCGGCUAACUCCGUGCCAGCAGCCGCGGUAAUACGGAGGAUCCGAGCGUUAUCCGGAUUUAUUGGGUUUAAAGGGAGCGUAGAUGGAUGUUUAAGUCAGUUGUGAAAGUUUGCGGCUCAACCGUAAAAUUGCAGUUGAUACUGGAUAUCUUGAGUGCAGUUGAGGCAGGCGGAAUUCGUGGUGUAGCGGUGAAAUGCUUAGAUAUCACGAAGAACUCCGAUUGCGAAGGCAGCCUGCUAAGCUGCAACUGACAUUGAGGCUCGAAAGUGUGGGUAUCAAACAGGAUUAGAUACCCUGGUAGUCCACACGGUAAACGAUGAAUACUCGCUGUUUGCGAUAUACAGCAAGCGGCCAAGCGAAAGCGUUAAGUAUUCCACCUGGGGAGUACGCCGGCAACGGUGAAACUCAAAGGAAUUGACGGGGGCCCGCACAAGCGGAGGAACAUGUGGUUUAAUUCGAUGAUACGCGAGGAACCUUACCCGGGCUUAAAUUGCAGAUGAAUUACGGUGAAAGCCGUAAGCCGCAAGGCAUCUGUGAAGGUGCUGCAUGGUUGUCGUCAGCUCGUGCCGUGAGGUGUCGGCUUAAGUGCCAUAACGAGCGCAACCCUUGUUGUCAGUUACUAACAGGUUCCGCUGAGGACUCUGACAAGACUGCCAUCGUAAGAUGUGAGGAAGGUGGGGAUGACGUCAAAUCAGCACGGCCCUUACGUCCGGGGCUACACACGUGUUACAAUGGGGGGUACAGAGGGCCGCUACCACGCGAGUGGAUGCCAAUCCCCAAAACCUCUCUCAGUUCGGACUGGAGUCUGCAACCCGACUCCACGAAGCUGGAUUCGCUAGUAAUCGCGCAUCAGCCACGGCGCGGUGAAUACGUUCCCGGGCCUUGUACACACCGCCCGUCAAGCCAUGGGAGCCGGGGGUACCUGAAGUGCGUAACCGCGAGGAGCGCCCUAGGGUAAAACUGGUGACUGGGGC